Long non-coding RNA from Microtus oregoni (creeping vole), 213 nucleotides. RefSeq lists it as uncharacterized. The record is from RefSeq and is a predicted model, not a curated record. The transcript has 3 exons. Lineage: Eukaryota; Metazoa; Chordata; Mammalia; Rodentia; Cricetidae.
CCAGUACCAUGUCUGCCUGCACAUUGCCAUGUCCUAUAACGGACCGGAACUCUGAAACUGGCAGAAAAUGCAAGUAUCCUAAAUGGCCUCUGUAAUUCAUAUCGUUAUAAAAUACGUAUCAACAUUAGCAUCAGUGCUGGAGAGCAGGACCCGACGAUACAAUAUUUCUAUAAGAGACAGAGUUUCUCUGUGUAACAGCCCUGGCUGUCCUGG